Molecule: ribosomal RNA, 429 nt
Filed under: Verrucomicrobiota bacterium
Lineage: Bacteria; Pseudomonadati; Verrucomicrobiota
Description: Verrucomicrobia bacterium partial 16S ribosomal RNA
Rfam family: Bacterial small subunit ribosomal RNA
Source: RNAcentral
UAGGGAAUCUUCGGCAAUGGGGGGAACCCUGACCGAGCAACGCCGCGUGAGUGAAGAAGGUUUUCGGAUCGUAAAGCUCUGUUGUUAAGGAAGAACGAGUGUGAGAAUGGAAAGUUCAUGCUGUGACGGUACUUAACCAGAAAGGGACGGCUAACUACGUGCCAGCAGCCGCGGUAAUACGUAGGUCCCGAGCGUUGUCCGGAUUUAUUGGGCGUAAAGCGAGCGCAGGCGGUUAGAAAAGUCUGAAGUGAAAGGCAGUGGCUCAACCAUUGUAGGCUUUGGAAACUGUUUAACUUGAGUGCAGAAGGGGAGAGUGGAAUUCCAUGUGUAGCGAUGAAAUGCGUAGAUAUAUGGAGGAACACCGGUGGCGAAAGCGGCUCUCUGGUCUGUAACUGACGCUGAGGCUCGAGAGCGUGGGGAGCGAACAGG